UACGUAGGCAGCGAGCGUUGUUCGGAAUUACUGGGCGUAAAGAGUGUGUAGGCGGUGUUCCCAGUCUGUUGUGAAAUCUCCCGGCUUAACUGGGAGGGUGCAGCGGAAACUAGAAUGCUAGAGGGUGGGAGAGGUAAGCGGAAUUCCUGGUGUAGCGGUGAAAUGCGUAGAUAUCAGGAGGACCACCUGUGGUGUAGACAGCUUACUGGACCACUUCUGACGCUGAGACACGAAAGCGUGGGUAGCAAACAGG
RNAcentral lists this ribosomal RNA (253 nucleotides) under uncultured bacterium. Its description in RNAcentral is "partial 16S ribosomal RNA". It matches the Rfam family "Bacterial small subunit ribosomal RNA", at positions 524 to 776 of the family's 1533-position model. The record is from RNAcentral.